Molecule: long non-coding RNA, 195 nt
Organism: Oenanthe melanoleuca
Lineage: Eukaryota; Metazoa; Chordata; Aves; Passeriformes; Muscicapidae
Exons: 2
Source: RefSeq, a predicted model, not a curated record
GGGUGCCCCACACCCCAUAACCACCCCCCAUAACACCCUCCACCCCCGGCAGGGCUGUACAUGGUGUAGGGUCCCCUAUAUCCCCUGGUCAUGCCCCAUAUCUACGGGUGCCCUACAACCCUUUGGGGUACCCUACAGCCCUUUUGGGGUAUCCUACAACCCUUUUGGGGUGCCCCACACCCCCUGACCCCCCCC